AGUGAACGUUGGCGGCGUGGAUUAGGCAUGCAAGUCGAGCGAGAACCGUAGCAAUACGGGGACAGCGGCGAAAGGGACAGUAAUGUGUAGGUACCUACCCCGGGGUCUGGGAUAGCUGCGGGAAACUGCAGGUAAUACCGGAUAAUGUCUUCGGACCAAAGGUGUGAUUCCACCUUGGGAGGGGCCUGCAUCCUAUUAGCUUGUUGGCGGGGUAACGGCCCACCAAGGCAACGAUGGGUAGCGGGUGUGAGAGCACGACCCGCGUCAUUGGGACUGAGCUACUGCCCAGACACCUACGGGUGGCUGCAGUCGAGGAUCUUCGGCAAUGGGCGAAAGCCUGACCGAGCGACGCCGCGUGCGGGAUGAAGGCCUUCGGGUUGUAAACCGCUGUCGUAGAGGAGGAAAUGCAGGGGGGUUCUCCCUUCUGUUUGACCUAUUCUAGGAGGAAGGACGGGCUAAGUUCGUGCCAGCAGCCGCAGUAA
RNAcentral lists this ribosomal RNA (482 nucleotides) under uncultured bacterium. Its description in RNAcentral is "partial 16S ribosomal RNA". It matches the Rfam family "Bacterial small subunit ribosomal RNA", at positions 28 to 523 of the family's 1533-position model. The record is from RNAcentral.